ACCUCUGCACAGUGGCAGUAUCAUAGUCGGUGAGGUUUAUCUAAUGUGUGAUUAUUGCUAAUUGAAAACUUCCCAAUAUCUCACCAUGAUGACUUGAAAUGUAGUCAGCAUGGGCAAUUUUUGAGUGUCUUUAUGGAGA
Molecule: small nuclear RNA, 139 nt
Organism: Cercocebus atys (sooty mangabey)
Lineage: Eukaryota; Metazoa; Chordata; Mammalia; Primates; Cercopithecidae
Gene: U4
Rfam family: U4 spliceosomal RNA
About the family: U4 small nuclear RNA (U4 snRNA) is a component of the major U2-dependent spliceosome.
Source: Ensembl